AACCCACCACAGGUAUUGGAUCACCCUGAUCCAAAAGUGGUGUUUUAACCCGCGCGAGAUAGGCCUAACGGUGUCUCGCGCCGGAAUUUUUAAAAAAUACUUAAAUGACCCCUACGACGUUCAUUUUUUUUAUCGGAAAGAUCAAGAACAAGACUUUAUCUUUCUGAAUUUUAAUUUGUAAAAAGUAUAGUGGUUAUAUGGGGAAAUGGAUCAAUCACAAAUAUUGGAUCACCCCCCACAUGUGCUGCAUUCGUUGUCCCUACCCGCGGCUAUGCCGCCGGGUAUGGGAGAGGGUGGAGGGGUGAAAAAGGGACCUCCUCAUUUUAACGACGAUUAUCUCUUUUAAGUGCCACUAGAGGCGCUUGAUUACUCUUUUUCUGUCACCAUCACAAGCAGACUAUUCCUGACUGUAUUGUUGUUUGUUUCCUCGAUUCGCUCUCAUUUCAAGCUUUGUGAAUAGAAAUAGUUGGGAUUAUUCAUUCUGAGCUGGGAAAAAUCUGAUUGAUUUUGAUAUCACAAGAACGGUUACUGGUAAAAGUGUUAGCCAGAACCCAUUAUUUUUACGAGUGUAAGAAGAAUGGCCAAGUGGAUUUUCCUAGAUGAUGGUGUUACAGCCAUCCAUGAUGAGACAGGGGAAGUGUACAAGUUCGAGCCAACAGUAAAAUGCAAUGGGCAAGGGCAGGCUACUCAAAAUGUAACGAAUGACUCUUACAACUUGAAAGCGAAGCAGGAGAAGCCUUUGGUUACAAAUACUGUGAAGUCUGUCACUUCAGAUCCUGCCAAAAAAUAAAUUAAGCUAAUUUCAAAAUUUA
Long non-coding RNA from Daphnia pulicaria, 812 nucleotides. RefSeq lists it as uncharacterized. The record is from RefSeq and is a predicted model, not a curated record. NCBI's taxonomy places the organism in Eukaryota, Metazoa, Arthropoda, Branchiopoda, Diplostraca, Daphniidae. The transcript is spliced from 3 exons.